This 24-nucleotide microRNA is filed under the name Glycine max (soybean). Its description in RNAcentral is "gma-miR9729". Lineage: Eukaryota; Viridiplantae; Streptophyta; Magnoliopsida; Fabales; Fabaceae. The record is from miRBase by way of RNAcentral.
GUAAUGAGUAGAAACAUUUAGAAG